RNAcentral lists this ribosomal RNA (164 nucleotides) under Podolepis canescens. RNAcentral describes it as "5.8S ribosomal RNA". It matches the Rfam family "5.8S ribosomal RNA". From Rfam's summary of the family: 5.8S ribosomal RNA (5.8S rRNA) is a component of the large subunit of the eukaryotic ribosome. It is transcribed by RNA polymerase I as part of the 45S precursor that also contains 18S and 28S rRNA. The record is from RNAcentral. RNAcentral also lists the same sequence under 2 other names. Lineage: Eukaryota; Viridiplantae; Streptophyta; Magnoliopsida; Asterales; Asteraceae.
CAAACGACUCUCGGCAACGGAUAUCUCGGCUCACGCAUCGAUGAAGAACGUAGCAAAAUGCGAUACUUGGUGUGAAUUGCAGAAUCCCGUGAACCAUCGAGUUUUUGAACGCAAGUUGCGCCCGAAGCCAUCUGGUUGAGGGCACGUCUGCCUGGGCGUCACAC